GACGAACGCUGGCGGCGUGCUUAACACAUGCAAGUCGAACGGAAAGGCCCUGCUUUUGUGGGGUGCUCGAGUGGCGAACGGGUGUGUAACACGUGAGUAACCUGCCCUUGACUUUGGGAUAACUUCAGGAAACUGGGGCUAAUACCGGAUAGGAGCUCCUGCUGCAUGGUGGGGGUUGGAAAGUUUCGGCGGUUGGGGAUGGACUCGCGGCUUAUCAGCUUGUUGGUGGGGUAGUGGCUUACCAAGGCUUCGACGGGUAGCCGGCCUGAGAGGGUGACCGGCGACAUGGGGACUGAGAUACGGCGCAGACUCCAACGGGAGGCAGCAGUGGGGAAUAUGGCACAAUGGGCGGAAGCCUGAGGCAGCAACGCCGCGUGCGGGAUGACGGCCUUCGGGUUGUAAACCGCUUUCGCCUGUGACGAAGCGUGAGUGACGGUAAUGGGUAAAGAAGCACCGGCUAACUACGUG
This 468-nucleotide ribosomal RNA is filed under the name uncultured bacterium. RNAcentral's name for it is "partial 16S ribosomal RNA". It matches the Rfam family "Bacterial small subunit ribosomal RNA", at positions 28 to 507 of the family's 1533-position model. The record is from RNAcentral.